ACGAACGCUGGCGGCGUGCUUAACCCAUGCAAGUCGAACGGAAAGGCCCUGCUUUUGUGGGGUGCUCGAGUGGCGAACGGGUGAGUAACACGUGAGUAACCUGCCCUUGACUUUGGGAUAACUUCAGGAAACUGGGGCUAAUACCGGAUAGGAGCUCCUGCUGCAUGGUGGGGGUUGGAAAGUUUCGGCGGUUGGGGAUGGACUCGCGGCUUAUCAGCUUGUUGGUGGGGUAGUGGCUUACCAAGGCUUUGACGGGUAGCCGGCCUGAGAGGGUGACCGGCCACAUUGGGACUGAGCUACGGCCCAGACUCCUACGGGAGGCAGCAGUGGGGAAUAUUGCACAAUGGGCGGAAGCCUGAUGCAGCAACGCCGCGUGCGGGAUGACGGCCUUCGGGUUGUAAACCGCUUUCGCCUGUGACGAAGCGUGAGUGACGGUAAUGGGUAAAGAAGCACCGGCUAACUACGUG
This 467-nucleotide ribosomal RNA is filed under the name uncultured bacterium. RNAcentral describes it as "partial 16S ribosomal RNA". It matches the Rfam family "Bacterial small subunit ribosomal RNA", at positions 29 to 507 of the family's 1533-position model. The record is from RNAcentral.